RNAcentral lists this ribosomal RNA (470 nucleotides) under uncultured bacterium. RNAcentral describes it as "bacterial SSU rRNA". It matches the Rfam family "Bacterial small subunit ribosomal RNA", at positions 8 to 483 of the family's 1533-position model. The record is from RNAcentral.
AGAGUUUGAUCAUGGCUCAGAUUGAACGCUGGCGGCAGGCCUAACACAUGCAAGUCGAGCGGUAACNNAGAGUAGCUUGCUCCUCUGGCGNCGAGCGGCGGACGGGUGAGUAAUGCUUGGGAAUAUGCCUUAUGGUGGGGGACAACAGUUGGAAACGACUGCUAAUACCGCAUGAUGUCUACGGACCAAAGUGGGGGACCUUCGGGCCUCACGCCAUAAGAUUAGCCCAAGUGGGAUUAGCUAGUUGGUGAGGUAAUGGCUCACCAAGGCGACGAUCCCUAGCUGGUUUGAGAGGAUGAUCAGCCACACUGGGACUGAGACACGGCCCAGACUCCUACGGGAGGCAGCAGUGGGGAAUAUUGCACAAUGGGCGCAAGCCUGAUGCAGCCAUGCCGCGUGUGUGAAGAAGGCCUUCGGGUUGUAAAGCACUUUCAGUAAGGAGGAAAGGUUAAGUGUUAAUAGCACUUAGU